This 491-nucleotide ribosomal RNA is filed under the name uncultured bacterium. Its description in RNAcentral is "partial 16S ribosomal RNA". It matches the Rfam family "Bacterial small subunit ribosomal RNA", at positions 28 to 507 of the family's 1533-position model. The record is from RNAcentral.
GAUGAACGCUCGCUACAGGCUUAACACAUGCAAGUCGAGGGGAAACGACAUUGAAGCUUGCUUCGAUGGUCGUCGACCGGCGCACGGGUGAGUAACGCGUAUCCAACCUGCCUCUGACCAAGGGAUAACCCGUCGAAAGUCGGCCUAAUACCUUAUGCAGUCGUCGGAAGUCAUCUGAUGACGACGAAAGAUUUCAUCGGUGAGAGAUGGGGAUGCGUCUGAUUAGCUUGUUGGCGGGGUAACGGCCCACCAAGGCAACGAUCAGUAGGGGUUCUGAGAGGAAGGUCCCCCACAUUGGAACUGAGACACGGUCCAAACUCCUACGGGAGGCAGCAGUGAGGAAUAUUGGUCAAUGGGCGAGAGCCUGAACCAGCCAAGUAGCGUGCAGGAUGACGGCCCUAUGGGUGGUAAACUGCUUUUAUGCGGGGAUAAAGUGAGGGACGUGUCCUUCAUUGCAGGUACCGCAUGAAUAAGGACCGGCUAAUUCCGUG